GAUCCUGGCUUAGAUUGAACGCUGGCGGCAGGCCUAACACAUGCAAGUCGAACGGUAACAGGAAGAAGCUUGCUUCUUUGCUGACGAGUGGCGGACGGGUGAGUAAUGUCUGGGAAACUGCCUGAUGGAGGGGGAUAACUACUGGAAACGGUAGCUAAUACCGCAUAACGUCGCAAGACCAAAGAGGGGGGACCUUCGGGCCGUCUUGCCAUCGGAUGUGCCCAGAUGGGAUUAGCUUGUUGGUGGGGUAACGG
Molecule: ribosomal RNA, 254 nt
Filed under: uncultured bacterium
Lineage: Bacteria
Description: partial 16S ribosomal RNA
Rfam family: Bacterial small subunit ribosomal RNA
Source: RNAcentral